AUUUCUCUUUUUCUCACUCUCUCGGCCAAACUCUCUCCUCCCUUCUCUCUUCGAUCUCAACACCUUAGACCGUGAUUCCGGACGAAGUUCAAGAAUUAAAAUUGCUAUACGGAGCACGGGCUUUCCGAAUAUCCAAGAAAAAUCUUGAUCGGACCGCGUGGGAGCUCGGUUGACUUGGUCAAAGGGUCGGGUUUUGCUCAAAACCCAUGAGGUACAACACAGGGGUAGUGAUAUGAAGUGCAUGGAGUGCAUCUUUGCAUAAAAAGGGGUUUUUCAGGAGCUACCUAUAUAUUUGUAAAUCAAAUUGUAUUGUAAUGUACUGGGAUGUCUUAAUUUGAAACAUUAUAUUUGUGGACAAAAUUGAGGAUUUGGGAGCAGUAUUGUAUUUUGGGGUAUUGGCUAUACUAUUGUGAGGUUUUAUACUUCAAAUGGUAUUGUUAUUUAUGUUUAAAAA
Rhododendron vialii is the source of this 454-nucleotide long non-coding RNA. RefSeq lists it as uncharacterized. Lineage: Eukaryota; Viridiplantae; Streptophyta; Magnoliopsida; Ericales; Ericaceae. The transcript is spliced from 2 exons. The record is from RefSeq and is a predicted model, not a curated record.